RNAcentral lists this ribosomal RNA (430 nucleotides) under uncultured bacterium. RNAcentral describes it as "bacterial SSU rRNA". It matches the Rfam family "Bacterial small subunit ribosomal RNA", at positions 505 to 933 of the family's 1533-position model. The record is from RNAcentral.
GUGCCAGCAGCCGCGGUAAUACGUAGGGUGCAAGCGUUGUCCGGAAUUACUGGGCGUAAAGAGUUCGUAGGCGGUUUGUCGCGUCGUUUGUGAAAACCAGCAGCUCAACUGCUGGCUUGCAGGCGAUACGGGCAGACUUGAGUACUGCAGGGGAGACUGGAAUUCCUGGUGUAGCGGUGAAAUGCGCAGAUAUCAGGAGGAACACCGGUGGCGAAGGCGGGUCUCUGGGCAGUAACUGACGCUGAGGAACGAAAGCGUGGGUAGCGAACAGGAUUAGAUACCCUGGUAGUCCACGCCGUAAACGGUGGGCGCUAGGUGUGGGUUCCUUCCACGGAAUCCGUGCCGUAGCUAACGCAUUAAGCGCCCCGCCUGGGGAGUACGGCCGCAAGGCUAAAACUCAAAGGAAUUGACGGGGGCCCGCACAAGCGGU